UACGUAGGGGCGAGCGUUGUCCGGAUUUACUGGGCGUAAAGGGUGAGUAGGCGGUUAUAUAUGUCAGGUGUAAAAGGCUAUGGCUUAACCAUGGUUAGCACUUGAAACUGUAUGACUUGAGUGCAGGAGAGGUAAGUGGAAUUCCUAGUGUAGCGGUGAAAUGCGUAGAUAUUAGGAGGAACACCAGUGGCGAAGGCGACUUACUGGACUGUAACUGACGCUGAGUCACGAAAGCGUGGGUAGCAAACAGGAUUAGAUACCCGGGUAGUCCCUGA
RNAcentral lists this ribosomal RNA (275 nucleotides) under uncultured prokaryote. Its description in RNAcentral is "partial 16S ribosomal RNA". It matches the Rfam family "Bacterial small subunit ribosomal RNA", at positions 524 to 800 of the family's 1533-position model. The record is from RNAcentral.